CCUANGGGGGGCAGCAGUGGGGAAUUUUGCACAAUGGACGCAAGUCUGAUGCAGUGAUUCCGCGUGGAGGAUGACGCAUUACGGUGUGUAAACUCCUUUUCUGGUGGAAGACGAAUGACGGUACACCAGGAAUAAGAGACGGCUAACUACGUGCCAGCAGCCGCGGUAAUACGUAGGUCUCAAGCGUUAUCCGGAUUUACUGGGCGUAAAGUGUACGUAGCCUGAUAUGCAAGUCAGUUUUCAAAUAUUUCGACUCAAUCGAAAAGAGGGAAUAGAUACUGCAUAUCUAGAGAAUAUUGGAGGUUAGUGGAAUUUCCGGUGGAGCGGUGAAAUGCGUUGAUAUCGGAAAGAAUGCCGAAAGCGAAAGCAGCUAACUACAGUAAUUCUGACGGUGAGGUACGACAGCAUGGGUAGCAAACGGGAUUAGAUACCCCGNUANUC
RNAcentral lists this ribosomal RNA (441 nucleotides) under uncultured bacterium. Its description in RNAcentral is "bacterial SSU rRNA". It matches the Rfam family "Bacterial small subunit ribosomal RNA", at positions 338 to 795 of the family's 1533-position model. The record is from RNAcentral.